This 72-nucleotide transfer RNA is filed under the name Perkinsus olseni. RNAcentral's name for it is "tRNA-Val". It matches the Rfam family "tRNA". Rfam says of the family: Transfer RNA (tRNA) molecules are approximately 80 nucleotides in length. Their secondary structure includes four short double-helical elements and three loops (D, anti-codon, and T loops). Further hydrogen bonds mediate the characteristic L-shaped molecular structure. tRNAs have two regions of fundamental functional importance: the anti-codon, which is responsible for specific mRNA codon recognition, and the 3' end, to which the tRNAs corresponding amino acid is attached (by aminoacyl-tRNA synthetases). tRNAs cope with the degeneracy of the genetic code in two manners: having more than one tRNA (with a specific anti-codon) for a particular amino acid; and 'wobble' base-pairing, i.e. permitting non-standard base-pairing at the 3rd anti-codon position. Lineage: Eukaryota; Perkinsozoa; Perkinsida; Perkinsidae. The record is from RNAcentral.
GCCGGGAUAGUCUAGUGGUUAUGACGUCUGCCUUACACGCAGAAGGUCGCGGGUUCGACCCCGCUCCUGGUA